Molecule: non-coding RNA, 117 nt
Organism: Chlorocebus sabaeus (green monkey)
Lineage: Eukaryota; Metazoa; Chordata; Mammalia; Primates; Cercopithecidae
Rfam family: Metazoan signal recognition particle RNA
About the family: The signal recognition particle (SRP) is a universally conserved ribonucleoprotein. It is involved in the co-translational targeting of proteins to membranes.
Source: Rfam
GCCAGGCAUGGUGGCUCAUGCCUAUAAUCCCAGCACUUUGGGAGGCUGAGGUGGGAGGAUCACUUGAGCCCAGGAGUUUGAGGCCAGCCUGGGCAACAUAGUGAGAUCCCACUUCUA